GCCGAGGUGGUGGAACUUGGCAGACACGCCAUCUUGAGGGGGUGGUGCGCGUAAGCGCUUGGGGGUUCAAAUCCCCCCCUCGGCA
This 85-nucleotide transfer RNA is filed under the name Chloroflexota bacterium. Its description in RNAcentral is "Chloroflexi bacterium (groundwater metagenome) tRNA-Leu". It matches the Rfam family "tRNA". From Rfam's summary of the family: Transfer RNA (tRNA) molecules are approximately 80 nucleotides in length. Lineage: Bacteria; Bacillati; Chloroflexota. The record is from RNAcentral.